Molecule: ribosomal RNA, 503 nt
Filed under: uncultured bacterium
Lineage: Bacteria
Description: bacterial SSU rRNA
Rfam family: Bacterial small subunit ribosomal RNA
Source: RNAcentral
AUUGAACGCUGGAGGUAUGCUUAACACAUGCAAGUCGAACGCGAACGUUACUUCGGUAACAAGUAGAGUGGCGGACGGGUGAGUAACGCGUAGGAAUCUACCUAAGUGUGGGGGAUAACAUGGAGAAAUUCAUGCUAAUACCGCAUACGCCCCACGGGGUAAAGAGGGCCUCUUCUUGAAAGCUCUUGCAUUUAGAUGAGCCUGCGUCGGAUUAGCUAGUUGGUGAGGUAAUGGCUUACCAAGGCGACGAUCCGUAGCUGGUCUGAGAGGAUGAUCAGCCACACUGGGACUGAGACACGGCCCAGACUCCUACGGGAGGCAGCAGUGGGGAAUAUUGGACAAUGGGCGCAAGCCUGAUCCAGCAAUACCUCGUGUGUGAAGAAGGCCCUAGGGUUGUAAAGCACUUUUUCAAUUUGGGACGAAGAUUGUAAAAUUAAUACUUUUAUAAUUUGACGGUACCUUUAGAAGAAGCACCGGCUAACUCCGUGCCAGCGCCGCGGUAA